GAGUUUGAUCAUGGCUCAGGAUGAACGCUGGCGGCGUGCUUAACACAUGCAAGUCGAACGGGCGAAUUAUAUCGGAGGUCUUCGGGCCGAAGAGAUAAUAAGCUAGUGGCGGACGGGUGCGUAACGUGUGGGUAAUCUGCCUUUGUCAUAGGAAUAACUGCUUGAAAAAGUAGCUAAUACCAAAUAACAUAUCGUAUAGGCAUCUAUAAGAUAUCAAAGAGAAAUCGGACAAAGAUGAGCCCGCAUCUGAUUAGCUGGUUGGUAGGGUAAAAGCCUACCAAGGCGACGAUCAGUAGCCGGCCUGAGAGGGUGAACGGCCACAUUGGAACUGAGACACGGUCCAAACUCCUACGGGAGGCAGCAGUGGGGAAUAUUGCACAAUGGGGGGAACCCUGAUGCAGCAACGCCGCGUGAGUGAAGAAGGCUUUCGAGUCGUAAAACUCUGUUGUAAGGGAAGAUAAUGAC
RNAcentral lists this ribosomal RNA (465 nucleotides) under Filifactor villosus. RNAcentral's name for it is "bacterial SSU rRNA". It matches the Rfam family "Bacterial small subunit ribosomal RNA", at positions 9 to 455 of the family's 1533-position model. Lineage: Bacteria; Bacillati; Bacillota; Clostridia; Peptostreptococcales; Filifactoraceae. The record is from RNAcentral.